This 314-nucleotide ribosomal RNA is filed under the name uncultured bacterium. RNAcentral describes it as "bacterial SSU rRNA". It matches the Rfam family "Bacterial small subunit ribosomal RNA", at positions 28 to 334 of the family's 1533-position model. The record is from RNAcentral.
GAUAAACGCUGGCGGCGCACAUAAGACAUGCAAGUCGAACGGACUUAACCAUUAGUUUACUAUUGGAGCGGUUAGUGGCGGACUGGUGAGUAACACGUAAGCAACCUGCCUAUCAGAGGGGAACAACAGUUAGAAAUGACUGCUAAUACCGCAUAUGCCUAAGUACCACAUGGUACAAUAGGGAAAGGAGCAAUCCGCUGAUAGAUGGGCUUGCGUCUGAUUAGAUAGUUGGUGGGGUAACGGCCCACCAAACCUACGAUGGAUAGGGGUUCUGAGAGGAAGGUCCCCCACAUUGGAACUGAGACACGGUCCAA